Molecule: ribosomal RNA, 346 nt
Filed under: uncultured bacterium
Lineage: Bacteria
Description: partial 16S ribosomal RNA
Rfam family: Bacterial small subunit ribosomal RNA
Source: RNAcentral
CCUACGGGUGGCAGCAGUGAGGAAUAUUGGUCAAUGGACGCAAGUCUGAACCAGCCAUGCCGCGUGCAGGAAGACGGCUCGAUGAGUUGUAAACUGCUUUUGUACGAGGGGAAACGCAGAUACGCGGAUCGGUCUGAAAGUAUCGUACGAAUAAGGAUCGGCUAACUCCGUGCCAGCAGCCGCGGUAAUACGGAGGAUUCAAGCGUUAUCCGGAUUUAUGGGGUUUAAAGGGUGCGUAGGCGGGCGGAUAAGUUAGAGGGGAAAUCCCGAGGCUCCACUUCGGAAUUGCCUCUGAUACUGUUCGGCUAGAGCGUAGUUGCGGUCGGCGGAAUGUCUGGUGUAGCGG